UGGGAAAGCUUUUGCGGUAUGGGAUGGGGUCGCGUCCUAUCAGCUUGAUGGCGGGGUAACGGCCCACCAUGGCUUCGACGGGUAGCCGGCCUGAGAGGGCGACCGGCCACAUUGGGACUGAGAUACGGCCCAGACUCCUACGGGAGGCAGCAGUGGGGAAUAUUGCACAAUGGGCGCAAGCCUGAUGCAGCGACGCCGCGUGCGGGAUGACGGCCUUCGGGUUGUAAACCGCUUUUGACUGGGAGCAAGCCCUUCGGGGUGAGUGUACCUUUCGAAUAAGCACCGGCUAACUACGUGCCAGCAGCCGCGGUAAUACGUAGGGUGCAAGCGUUAUCCGGAAUUAUUGGGCGUAAAGGGCUCGUAGGCGGUUCGUCGCGUCCGGUGUGAAAGUCCAUCGCUUAACGGUGGAUCCGCGCCGGGUACGGGCGGGCUUGAGUGCGGUAGGGGAGACUGGAAUUCCCGGUGUAACGGUGGAAUGUGUAGAUAUCGGA
Molecule: ribosomal RNA, 491 nt
Filed under: Bifidobacterium adolescentis
Lineage: Bacteria; Bacillati; Actinomycetota; Actinomycetes; Bifidobacteriales; Bifidobacteriaceae
Description: partial 16S ribosomal RNA
Rfam family: Bacterial small subunit ribosomal RNA
Source: RNAcentral